CGGAAGAUGCUGGGCCACGCAAGUUUCCCUGGGCUUGGUUAACCACCCCAAAGCCCAUUUCCAGAAGGAAAGGGUGUUGAGGAGGAGGGAUAGAAAGUCGAGAAGAGGGCCGGGGUCUUGCUGUGUUACUCAGGCUGGAGUGAAGUAGAGCAUUCACAGCCCACUGCAACCUUGAACACCUGGGCUCAAGCAAUCCUGCCUCAGCCUCCUGAGUAGCUGGGACCACAGAUGUGCACCACCAUGCCCAGCUACAUGUCUUUCUUUUUGGGGGACAGCAGAAACCUGGGCAGAGGAGGAAUCCUGAUACCCAGUUCUGAAACAAAGUGGCAGAAUUUGUAAUACAGAAGAAGGAUCUUGUGACUGGUAUUCUGUUAUCCACAAGAGUAAAUGUUCCCAAAUAAAUAAAACUGGGAUAUGAAA
RNAcentral lists this non-coding RNA (420 nucleotides) under Pan troglodytes (chimpanzee). Lineage: Eukaryota; Metazoa; Chordata; Mammalia; Primates; Hominidae. The record is from RNAcentral.